CCGUGCUAGGCGGGGAGGUAGCGGUGCCCUGUACCCGCAAUCCGCUCUAGCGGGGCCGAAUCCCCUCCCGAGGGGCCCUCGGCUCUCGAGGUCAGCGCGCCGGCCGACGGCGUCGAUGGCCGGGUCCCGCGCGUUGUCGGCCCGUGAACCAGGUCAGAUCCGGAAGGAAGCAGCCUUAAGCGGUAACCGGCAGGCGCAGCGGGCAAGCCCGGCCGGAGCCAGAGCCGGAGGCGCGCUCGAGGGCCCGCCUCGACGGAGGGUGCACGG
Molecule: signal recognition particle RNA, 267 nt
Filed under: Actinomycetes bacterium
Lineage: Bacteria; Bacillati; Actinomycetota; Actinomycetes
Also listed under: 1 other name
Description: Actinobacteria bacterium signal recognition particle sRNA large type
Rfam family: Bacterial large signal recognition particle RNA
About the family: The signal recognition particle (SRP) is a universally conserved ribonucleoprotein involved in the co-translational targeting of proteins to membranes. Archaeal SRP consists of a 7S RNA and homologues of the eukaryotic SRP19 and SRP54 proteins.
Source: RNAcentral